GGAUAACAUGCCCUUAGGAGGGGGAUAAUCUCGAGAAAUUGAGGAUAAUACCCCAUAGGCCAUGAAUGCUGGAAUGCUUUAUGGCCCAAAGCUCCGGCGCCUAAGGAUUGGUCUGCGGCCUAUCAGGUUGUAGUGGGUGUAACGGACCCACUAGCCUAUGACGGGUAUGGGCCUUGAGAGAGGGAGCCCAGAGAUGGACUCUGAGACACGAGUCCAGGCCCUACGGGGCGCAGCAGUCGCGAAACCUUCACACUGGGGGAAACCCUGAUGAGGGAAUUCCUAGUGCCUGCAUUUUUUGUAGGCUUUUAUCUAGUGUAGAUAGCUAGAAGAAUAAGGGCCGGGUAAGACGGGUGCCAGCCGCCGCGGUAAUACCCGCGGCCCAAGUGGUGGUCGAUAUUAUUGAGUCUAAAACGUCCGUAGCCGGUUCAGUAAAUCUUUGGGUAAAUCGGCCAGCUUAACUGACCGAAUUCCGAAGAGACUGCUGAACUUGGGACCGGGAGAGGCCAGAGGUACUUCUGGGGUAGGGGUAAAAUCCUGUAAUCCUAGAAGGACCACCGGUGGCGAAGGCGUCUGGCUAGAACGGAUCCGACGGUGAGGGACGAAGCCCUGGGGCGCAAACGGGAUUAGAUACCCCGGUAGUCCAGGGUGUAAACGCUGCAGGCUUGGUGUUGGGGGUCCUUCGGGGGCGCCCAGUGCCGGAGAGAAGUUGUUAAGCCUGCUACUUGGGGAGUACGUCCGCAAGGAUGAAACU
This 751-nucleotide ribosomal RNA is filed under the name uncultured euryarchaeote. RNAcentral describes it as "bacterial SSU rRNA". It matches the Rfam family "Archaeal small subunit ribosomal RNA", at positions 102 to 856 of the family's 1478-position model. Lineage: Archaea; Methanobacteriati; Methanobacteriota. The record is from RNAcentral. RNAcentral also lists the same sequence under 1 other name.